RNAcentral lists this long non-coding RNA (32261 nucleotides) under Lathyrus oleraceus (garden pea). RNAcentral's name for it is "Pisum sativum (pea) long non-coding RNA (PSAT_LNC031348)". Lineage: Eukaryota; Viridiplantae; Streptophyta; Magnoliopsida; Fabales; Fabaceae. The record is from RNAcentral.
GAAAAUAUAUAUAAGCAAAUAAACAACUUAAGGAAUACAUAUUAAAUAUCCAACUUUAAGCAAUGCGAAAUAAAAUGAAUCGCAUCACAGACACAAGCAUGCUUAUAUCAUUCCUACGAUAUUUACAGCAUAAGGUACACAUCAAUGAACCUAAUUUAUUAUAUCCAACCUAUUAUGACACUUAAAUAUUUAAACAAUAAUUCCAUGUAAAUAUAAAAUAAAAGGAUCAGUAAAACAAAAUAAGCAAAAGAAUGUUGGUUUGACUUUUCAAACAUUUUUAAAAAACAUAAACCCAAAUUCACUUUAGAAAAACACAUAAACUCAGUGACAUAAUAAUUUGUUUAAAGCAUAAAAGAGAAAGGAAGUGAACGAUCAACCAGAGCAAAACAGAGUGCGAAGGCAGAAGAUGGCGGUGCAAAGGAGCUUUACACCGACAAUGAGGAGUUACUCUGAAGGUUGUUUGAUUAAGACUUGGGAGUCGCCGACGGUUUGGAUGAAGGAGGUUGUCGUUGGAGUUCGGCUUGUGAGUUGCGAAUGUGGCUUUAAGUCUUCACGCCAUGAAUAGUGAAGUUCAUGUGUUGUUUAUGGUGAAAGUGAAAACAUGUGGUUAUUGUUGUGGCUACAAGGAGAAUGCGGCGAUCGGAAAUGGAGUAAGUGGUUGUGUCGUUGAGUUGUGGUGGUACGGCGGAGAAAUUAUGAUGUAGACGGUGGUUUCCGGAAGAUUAUAGAUCCGGAGGUGGGUAUGGGUUUUUAUGGUUAGUGGCGGAUGGAAAACACAGUGGAAGAAAUGGGGAGGUUUUGCCGGCGAAUAUUGGCGGUGACGGAGGAAUGGAGAAGGUGCGGCGGAUGCGCGUUGAAGGGAGAAUGUGGGUUGUCGUUGGGUUUGUCCAUGGCGGUGGCGGUGGAGUAAGGUGAGAGCGUUUGUGGUCCGCGGAGGAAGAAGAUGAACAGUCCUUUUUUAGUGGACUCCGCUGCCUUUUUCUUAAUGGAGCCUCUUGACCUUUUAUUUCUUUUCUGCAUUUUUCAGCUAGCUCCUCCCUCUCUUGACGUGUCAUCCUUUAAGUGGAUGGCCUUAUCUUUAUUUCCAGCUUUUCUCUUCUUGUUUUUUUGGCCCGUUAGAAUCAUGGCGUUGGAUAACCGCGUGGCACUUUCUCAUUGAAUGGAGAUAAAAUACCUUUGUUGGAGACAGGCUGGCCACGUUCCCCUUCAAUACCAAUCCUAAAACCAAUUUUGUUUUCCCCUUUCAUUGGGAGUUGGACGCGUGGUUGAGGAAUGGGCUCGAAGGAGAAUCCAAUGCAGAUGCUUCCAUCACCCUUUGUUAUUUUGAAUAGCAAUUAAAAUAUAAAAUAAAAUUAACCACUUAAAAUAAAGUCAAGUUAAUCACCCAAUUAAUUCUAAUUAAUUCAAAUGACUAUUUUGGCUAAGAGAUAAAAAUAAAUGGAUCAAUGAUGAAUAAAAGUCAGGCAUAAAAUUUACUCAAAAAAUUAAAUCGGAUGCACUAAAAUGAUCAGCACGAAACAUACUUAUUGGAAAAAUACAGCGUUUCUUUUAAUUUUGAAAUAAAUUUUCACCGGUUAAAAGGCUCAAAUGGAUUAAAAUGCAGCUGAAAAAGUCAUUGAAAAAUAUAACGAGCACACCAGGCUGAACUGCGCGAAGUGUAGAUUAAUAAUACUGGCGUCUGUAAGCUUAAUUUCGAAACUUUUUACCCGCUGAUUUUGCACGUACUUGAGAAGUGAUUUAACCAAUUUAUCUGUGUAGCGGGGUAUUCGUUACCUUUAGAUUUAUUGACUAAAUAAAAAGUAAAUCAUACAAUUCGAGUCGCCACCGCACUUCUAUUUAUCCAAAGGAAAGGUUAGAAAGCGAACAAAAACUGAGAAGUUUAUCGAAUCAAAAACUAAUAAAAAUGUCAGAGAUCGGGGUAAGGGGGUUGGUUAUGCAAUGGGUAGGUUUUAAGCACCCAAAACAUCCUAGGUACUCCUAGGGAGCCCUUUUCACAAUUUGUUGUAAGGUAGGUUGGUAUUUGGAAAAAAUUAUUUGUACAAACAUGAUUGGGGAGAUGAGAGAAGAAUGUACAAAUUAUUUACAAUUUUGUGUUUGAAUGGAUAAACCCAUUGCCUACGUACUAUCUUAAAAAAGGAUUAGGAUCAAAACCUCGUAGUUCGGGAUAAAAAUCUCAAAACAAGUUGGUGAAUUGAUUGGUCCAAAAGCCUCAAGGUCUUUUGUUAUCCAAGGGAGAAAACUCGACCUAAAACCACAAAUCCACCAUGUGAGGAUAGCUUCAACAUGCUAGUGAGGGGUUAACCCUAUAAUAAGCAUGGAAGACUCAUUGUCCAUCACUAAGGAUAUAGGUGAGUAUUAUAUUAACCUCAAGGAUAACUCAAACCUAAUAGCUAAUGGUUAUGAAAAGUUUUGAUAAGAAGUGGCCAUUGAAACCACAAAACAUUUGAAUGAGUUGUAUUUACCAAUGAAAAGUAUUUACAAAAUAUGGUCAAAGUUGACUUAAGGGUUCAAUUCAAAAUAAGUGUUAUGAAAGGAAAGUUUGAAAAUCAAAAGCAUAAUGCUUAGGUUUCUAAUGUUUGAAAACAAAUGCUAAUGUUUGCACAAAAGUUUUGGUUUGGGUUAGAGUGGAGGGAAGAAGAAGAAUGGCUAAGUCCUAAACAUACAAAGAUGAAGGAAAAGAAAUAAGACCACAAAUGGAGUUUUCUUCUUGAGAUCAUAGUGAUGAUCCAAGUAGCUCCCAUCCUUUGGAGUAAGCAAGCAAAUAAGCAAAUACUCAAGCAAUCAAUCAAUCAAGCAAGCUCUUAGGAAUCUUCUAAUGGCUCUUGUAUCUCUUACUUUAGAUGCACAUGACAACGGAUCUUCAAUUUGGCUCAAAUGGGAAUCCCUAGCAAAAGAACACACACAUCAAAAAAUUCCACAAAACAAACAAAGAAUGGACAAGAGUGAGUUUAGAGAUUAGGUCAUUCUAAUUCAUCUUCAACAUUAAGUCCUUUUUACUCCAUUUUUGCAUAGGGAAUGUCCUAAAGUCUAAGUCCUUUUGUCCAUUUGAAUUUGGUUCACAACAAUCAAAACAAAACACAAGCACAAUAGUAUAUACACAAUUAUGUGCUCAAGUGAGCAAAAGGCAAAUUGCAUUAACAUAAACAUGUGCUCAAAUGAGCAAAGGGCAAAAGCAAAAGUGAGCAAAAGGCAAAUUGCAUUAACAUAAACAUGUGCUCAAAUGAGCAAAGGGCAAAAGCAAAUGAAUAAUAUGUACAAGAAUAUUAAAUUGCAUUAAUGUAAAGUGCAAGAAUUAAAUGUUAAUGGUUAAUUGUUAGUGUUAGUGUGCCAUAAGGCAAUUUAGCGCUAUGUUAAGCAAUCGUAAGUGGACUAAUGUAGUAGUCACACCUAUCUGAGGCCGGUCAAUAAAAAUAUAGGCAAUAAACACAAGUUAGAGAUCUUGAUUAGUGAAUCAAGCUUCUACAACUUGCCAUGCCAAAAGAAAAGAAGGAUGAUCUUGUAUUGAUUUAGGUUUUCAUGCUUGAUUAGGAAGUAACCUAUCCUUAAUGCAAACCCAUUCACUUGAUCUUUGGAUCAAGAUGAAUUAGAUUUGAAUCAAGGAAGGUUAAAUCUUCCAUACAUCAAGGCUAACCAUCAAUCUUUAACUCAUUGAUCAAAAAGAAAAAGAUGAAGAAGAAGAUGGAUAAGAAUGUACAUUAAUGGAAUUCAAAUGAAGUAAGAAAAUUGGAUUGACCAAAGACAAAUGGAAUCAAGGUCAAACACUAGUAAACAAAAGCAAAAUGAAACUUAGAAGUUAAGAAACAAAUAAAAUAUUUUUGGUAUUUUUCAAAAUUGAAAUAAUACUUGAAUUAAAAUAAACAAUUAAAGGUCAAACUUCAAAUCCAUCUCAAAUCAACUUUGAAAAGUCCAAAUGGAUCAUCCUAAGUGCAACAAGGUCAAACAAAGUUUGACAAAAAAAAUUCAGCAUUUUUAGAAACCAGAAACUAUUUUUAAUCAAUUAAAAUGAUAAAAAAUAACCUAAUUGAAUUAAAAUCUCAAAUCAAUUAAUAAAUGGAUGAGAAUAUUUUUCAUAGAUCCAUCAUCAUUCAAAGAGGUUGAGAAAAUAUUUUUGUAUUUUUUGGAUAUUGAAAACUAAUUAAAAUGAAUUAAAAAUAACUAGAAAAGAGAAAAUUCAUAAAAAAUAUCAAAUAAUAAAAUAAAAAAUAUUAAAAAUCAUUUUUAGAAACUAGAAAUUAAAAGAGAAAUAGUGUCAUUGGUCUCAUAUUUUUUGGAAUUAAAAUGAGAGAGAUAUGAUUUUUUGAAAUAAAAUGAACUAAAAAAAAUAAAAUGGAUUAAAUCAGAAAAUAGGAAAAAACACACGCGUUGGAUUCAAUUCGUUAAAUGAUCUGGCAGAUCAAACGGCUGUGGCAUGCGUGCGCAUCAUGGACCUAAGUCAACUGAGCAACAUAAACUUUUAAAUAAAGUCAUAAGAUCCAAGAGCCUUGAUUCAAUCUGGGAAUCAUCAUCAACGGCCUGGACCAAAACUGGAAAACGGACGGUGGUGUAUACCACCAUCUUCUCCGGCGAGACCAGAGAUUCCGGCCAAAGUUGCAGAGAAAAAUUCUUAACCAAAUGAAGCGAUCCUCAUAUCAUUGGAAAGCUAGGGUGAUGUACAUCACCCCUGUACCAUUAGUUUCUCCUCUAGAUCCUCAUAGAGAGAGAAAUCAGAGAGAGAAAAUCAUGGUGUUCAAUCUGAACUUCAUGGAUUUGCAAAAUUAAAAGCACAAUUCGAAUGCCUCUGAUGAGAGGACUUCAGCCAAGCAAAGAAACACAAGAAACAAGCAAUAAUUAGGGAGUUUCGAAGAAGAAAAGUUUGAACAUCCACCUCUGAAAUAUGGAUCUGGAAAGCACAAUUCCUCUUAGCUACUGAUUGCAGUGUGAUCUAGAGAUGAAGAUGAAGCAAGGCCAAGGAAUUUUGAGUCUAAUAAUCAACCAAUGAAGUUGAAAAUCAGAUCUGAAAUUUUGAAAUGAAAGAGUGAAUUCCUUUAGGUAUGGCUAUGGAGGGAGUUUUGCAGCAUAACAGGUGCCUUCAGGUUAUUGAAUUAUGAAGCCUAGCACUCUUAUUUAUAGCAAUUGGCAAAGGCAAGCAUGAAAGUUUCAUGUGCAUGAAUGAAGAGGGCCUCCAUGCAUGGGCCUGUACAGGCGCAUGGAGGGCCCAAAUCCUAUUGGUUUAGCAAGCUUAACAUCAACAAAUGAGUUUUGGACUUGCAGAUGAAGUGUAAUUGGCUUAUGCAAUAAGUUUUCAAGUAGUUUCCAAAAAUGCACCAAAAUGUUCUCUUCUUCGAAAAUGCCUUUUUCCAAAAAGAAAACAUGGCCUUAUGGGUAAUGGUUGGAAAGCUCUUGACAUGAGGAUCAAUUGUUAUGUUGAGAAAAACUUCAUUUGGAAUUGGGAAAUUAGUGAAAAUUGGUCAUAAAGUGCAAGGUGCAAAACAUGUGUAUGUGAAAAUUUCCAAAAUGGGCCAACUUCAAGCCCUUCUAUUUCAAUGAUGAAAGCUCCAAAUGACAACACCUUCAAUAUAAAAGUUGUAGAUAUUUCCAAGACAAUCAAGGUUGACUCAAAUUGUGCAUCAUUUGGAUUUUUGAUGAGGAAGUUAUGGGCACUUGAAGUUAGACCUUUUCACAUUUCAAUGCCUUUGGUCCAAAGUGACCUAUAAUGUUUUGCAUUAUCACAUGUAUUUAUUUUAGGAUUAUGAAACUUUGGUCAACAUAACAAAUGAAGUAUACAUCUUAAACUUUCCAAUUCAUUUGAUCCCACCUCAAUAUCAUGAAAAAUGAAUGAGUUAUGUUCUUGGGAAGUUGACCCAAAAUUAGGGUUUCAGUCAAAAUGACCUAUAAUGUUUUGAAAUGGAUGAUGACCUUCCAAGCUUCAAAUAAAUUUUUGAUGAAAAUGAAAGUUGUUUAUAUGGUUCUUAAUAACAUUUUUUCUCUUGGAGUCAUCUCCAUUUGACAAGCACAUUAAAAUUUAGGUCUCAGUGUACUUCAAAAUAGUCAGAUGAAUUAACUGAUUAACUUCUCAAGUCCAAACCUCAUAUCUUGAUGAAUUGAUGAUUAAAGACACUCAAAUAAGCUCAAAUAUGCAUGAAAUGAUGAAUUAAAGGACUUCCCUUGAUUGUAUUUGAUCAUGGGUUGAGGUUGCUUCAUGGGCAAGGCACAGUUGAUGCACAUAUGAAUUAGGGUUUCCUUGGGAAACAAUCCUCAAACCCCUUCGUUUGCUUUGAUCAAAUUGAUAAAUUGAGAUACUUGUGAGGCAUAUAUGAUGGAUGAGAACCUUGUGAACCAUUAUCAUCCUUGCUUUCACCUUCACCUGGCCAUAUCAAUGAGCAUAGGGUCUCCUAGGAGCCUUGGAUCUUAUGAUUGCUCAAGCUACAAAACAAACAAAGUUAGUGACAUAUUUUUGUGCUUUUGGUUAGUAAACAAAAUAAGAAAAGCAAUAAUAUACAAUUCAAGCAUGCUUGGAUGACAUAUUUUUGUGCUUUUGGUUAGUAAACAAAAUAAGAAAAGCAAUAAUAUACAAUUCAAGCAUGCUUGGUGGUCUCAAACCAACUCACACAAGUUCCCACCCUAGGGUUAGGAACCAAGAUGCUAUGAUCCUUGAGGCAAAUGCAAAUGCAAUGAUAUGAUGCCAUGAGGGAUCUUAGGGUCAAAAUUAGGGUCGUACAGAUGUCCCUAUUUAAGGUCAUUCUAGCCAGAGAUGUGAAGAUUAAAAUCUUCGUCUCGACGAGGUAGAAUGGGCUUAAAUAAUAUCAAAGAGACGAAUUUUGGUCCCUAAGAGAUCUCAUGAUGCAAAUGUAUGUAUGCAAGAGGUAAUACUUUGCGGGGAUAUAUGUCCACAAAGGAAAAGAGAUCCAGAGAAACUGAAAAUCCAUAUGAGUAAUACACUCAUAAAUGGGACAGAGACUCUAGGGGGAUAAAGGGAAAUAGAAUGUGUGAGCAGGUCACGACUUGAAACUUGCUGGGAGACACGAAGGGAUUCCAUAAAAAUAAAUAAAUGGAAAGACUCGAUUUGACGCAACGAUGCAUGUAUUGGGGAAUAUGCCAAUACAGCAAAACUUUCGGCAAAGGAUACUUCGGAUAGAAAUCCGGACUGAGGCUAGGAAAAUUCAUCAAGGGACUCCGAUGGGGAAUGUCCCAAGAGGACUCAACUGAGGAAAAAGCAACUGAGGUAUUACCUGUUACUGGGUAAUAAGCUCAAAGAGACAUGUGAUCAAACACCGGUAUAAGGGUGAGAAAACAAACAUGCUCGGGGAUAAUGAAUAUCUAAGACCGGUAUAAGGGUGAGAGAUAUCAAUCAUCCAAAAUCAUCUGAGGAAGAUAGAAAAAGGUAUAUUUCAACUCAGGAAAAUCUGACUCCACAAGGGACAACAAGUCAUAAUAGGGAGCAGAAAGGAAAGAGCACCAGGGAUACCAGUUACUAGGCAUAUAAUAGGUGCCCAACCAAGCGUCAAUUGGGGAAUAUUCCCAAAACACUCAUCAUCCGAAAGGAGGGCUGAAAAAAGAAAACUCGAUUACAGGAUGGACAUUCGAUUCCAUAAGGAAAUACGAAUCUUACUCAAUUGGGGAAGAAAAAGACUUCGACUGAAGAGCGCAUGAGAUAUAUUAUCUAUUACCGUCAGAAUGUAGAUAAAAUACUCGCAUGGAAGAUUAUCCACAACCGGUUAUUGGGUUAAUAGAGGAUAAGUCAACCGAAAAGAAAUGACAUCGGGAUACCGAAUACCAUAUAUAAAAUGAUGAUCAAUCAAAGGGGAGAAACGAUCAUCACGAACAAAAAGAGGUGAAUGAAAGAUGACUCGCCGGGGAUACAUUGUUUGAUCAGAGCAAUUAUCCAAGAGAUAUAUCAUUGGUUACUGGGAGAUGUACUCAAAAGGUGGAGGAAUAUCGAUACCGAAUAUUGGAUAAAGAUAACCAACGAAGAGGGGAUUACAUCUACCGGUUACUGGGUAGAAAACCACAGAAGAGUAACCGUCAUCGGUUAGGAUGAACAAAAUCAAGGUUAACUAUUCAAGGGGAUAAGAUGGGGUUUAAAACUACCGGUAUGAGGAUAGAAAACCACAAAGAUAGGACUUAUGACUACCGGUUGCUGGGUAGAAGGCCACAUAAUUUCGUCGGGGAAAAGAUGGAUAAUUACUAGUUACUGGGCAAUCAUUCAUCUAAACCACGGGGAAAUGCGGGGGAAAUAACAAGAGGAGUCAAAUUAGGAACGAACUAGAGAGACACAAUGAAACAAAACUCAACCCUAUGAGGAUAUAACUCAGGGGAUAAAUUCCAUCCCAGUACAUAUUUUAGGGGGAAACUGAAAUAACAAUCAUCCACGAGGACAUAACUCAGUGGGGAAUGUGGAAGAAAGGGUAGACACUUUCUGCCUAUGGGGCUGACUCUAUAUGGAGAGAUCAGACACCAACAUUUACUUGGGGACAUAUAUACCACCAACUAGCAGGAGAUAACAAACAAAGAUAUAUGGCAAAGGAUGCAACAUGAAUAUCUGAAUGUUAUAAUUAUGCAUGUAUAUGUGUGGUUUAUGUAUGAUGAAUGCUGACAAACAGCCAUUUCUAACACAACCAGACCCAGGGAUCAAAUGGACAAACAUCUGGUACUACAUCUCGAAAGAGAAAGCCAGGUCCACCGGGGAAACUGCCAAUCUGACGGGGGCAAAAAAUACCAGGAAACAGUGAUCUCUGUAGGGGAAAGAGAAACAGUCACUCCGCUGGGAAGGAAUCAACACAUCUUCCUCAGAAAUUCCAACGCCACUCUGAAAUCAGACAAAGUCUUGGCUGGGGAACUGAACAUGGAUACGAUCCGUCGUGGAAGCAAAUGUAUUGGGGAAAUUAUCCAGGGGAAGGAUGAACCUCUGUGGGGAACAACCACCGAUCAAAAAGUUUUAAAACUAACUCAAAUCCUUGCACUGCUGGAUAAAUCAUCUCUGCCGAGGAGAAGAGACACACUACUCCACUGGGGAUGGAAAGAUAAAUAUUUACGUCACUCGCUCUGCUUAGGAGGAAACAACAGACAGGUUCUAGUGAAACACUGCUGAGGACUGACCAGGAACUACCUGUAGGUGAUCAGUUGGAGAUAUCCUGCUUGGUGACCAAACUGAGGAGCUGAAAUGGGAUCAACCCUGUUGAGGAUGAACAAAGUCAAACCUGCUGGAUAUUCAUGUAGGAGAAUCCGCGGGGGAAGCUACAAAUCAAAUUGUUGAGAAUUCCACUCAUGUUGGGGAUUUCCUACUCACUUUGCGGGAGAAUUCCAAUCUGAAUGAGGGAAUACCAACUCCCUCGAAAAGAUAGCAUAUCAAUUUAUCAAUUUAUAAGGGAUUUUAGGUCUAUCCACCCAAGGGAUGACAACCAUAUAAUUGAUAACAUAGAUGCUAGAUCCAGCCUCGCUGAGGAGUUAUAAGAUUAAGGCCAAACUCUCUGGGGAUUUUGUGGGAUGUUAGAGAUGUACUCCUCCCAACAAAAUGGGACCAAGGCUCCAGACUCUCUGGUGAACUUGGCGAUGCUUAACUUUCUUUUGCGCUUGCGGAGGAGACAAUCUGAAAGAUAAUGAAGAGGAUACAAGUAUGCUGUGAAUAUGAACAAAUGUCUUACCCUUUUGGAGAUCAUACUAUCCUUGGGAGAGCACUGAAGAUGUUCCAAUUAUCCUUUCAGUCAUUGUGAAUGUUCACUUUGUUUAAAACAGUUUAUGAUUUUUUUUUAAAACAAUGAUAUUUAUCAAUUAAAAUAUGCAAUAUUUGUUGAACAGAAACAAAUAAGACUGCAAAGAAUUAUAUAAAGGCUCAAAUUUAGUUGAUAGAAUGGUAGUCUAAAAAUGGCAAGACUCCAAGGAUCUUUACAAAUUUGAAAUUGGUGAUAUAUAUUGGAAAAGGGCUACAUUGAACAUAAUGACCAUUUCUCCACCAACUCCGAGUCCAAUGUAUUUGAAGCUUCAGUUGACAAUGACUGAGCGAAAUUCUCUGACAGAAGACAACUUGUAGAACAAAGUCUUGUCAGGAUGCAGUUACUUGCCAAAUCCCGAAUUUUUGCCUAGAAUGCCCCAAGGUGAGGUACUCAAUCUAGCGGGAUACAUAUUCAUUUUUUAUGUCUCUAACUUUUACCUGGACCGUCCUUUCAGGUUUUCAAUCCACCGAGACACUCAUUUUUGCCUAAGCCGCCCUUUCGGGUUUUCAACUUAGCGAGCUAUUCUAUUUUUAUUUUUAGGCGAAGUAUUUCUUGACUGUAUCUGAAUUCACAGGAUGAUUGAAAUCCUCCUCAUCCAUAGUUGUAAGUAUCAAUGCACCGCCUGAAAAGGCUCUCUUGACAACAUAUGGACCUUCAUAGUUUGGAGUCCACUUGCCCCUGGAAUCGGGCGCGAAAGACUAAACUUUCUUGAGCACAAGGUCACCUUCUCGAAACACACGAGGUUUGACCUUCUUAUCAAAGGCUUUAUUCAUCCUUUGCUGAUACAACUGACCAUGGCACAUGGCAGUCAAUCUCUUCUCUUCAAUUAAAUUCAGCUGGUCAUAACGACUCUAAACCCAUUCAGCCUCGAUCAACUUGGCUUCCAUCAAGACUCUCAUUGACGGGAUCUCCACCUCUACUAGGAGCACAACCUCCAUGCCAUAUACAAGGGAGAAAGGGGUUGCCCCUGUUGAAGUGCGAACAGAUGUACGAUAUCCAUGCAAAGCAAAUGGCAGCAUCUCAUGCCAAUCUUUGUAUGUAACAACCAUACAUAUACAAGGGAGAAAGGGGUUGCCCCUGUUGAAGUGCGAACAGAUGUACGAUAUCCAUGCAAAGCAAAUGGCAGCAUCUCAUGCCAAUCUUUGUAUGUAACAACCAUCUUCUGGAUAAUCUUCUUCAUGUUCUUAUUAGAAGCUUCAACAACCCCAUUCAUCUUGGGUCUAUAUGGAAAAGAAUUAUGAUGUGCAAUCUUGAACUCACUACACAGCUCUUUCAUCAUCUUGUUGUUCAAGUUAGAUCCAUUAUCAGUAAUGAUCUUAUUUGGCACACCAUAAUGGCAUAUGAGUUGGUUCUUGAUAAACUUUACAACCACCUGCCUGGUCACGUUUACAUAUGACGCCGCUUCAACCCAUUUGGUGAAGUAAUCAAUUGCUACGAGAAUAAAUUUGUGCCUGUUUGGAUGCUUUCGGGUCUAUCAUGCCAAUCAUAUCAAUUCCCCGCAUGGAGAAAGGCCAUGGUGAUGAAAUCACAUUCAGAAGUGUCGGGGGAAUAUGAAUCUUAUAUGCAUAAAUCUUAAACUUAUGGCAUUUCUUCACAUACUUGCAGCAGUCAGACUCUAUUGUCAGCCAAUAGUAGCCUGCUCUCAAAAUCUUCCUUACCAUGGCAUGUCCAUUGGAAUGAGUUACAAAUGAACCCUCAUGGACUUCAGUCAUCAAUAUGUCUGCUUCGUGUCUAUCCAUGUAUCUGAGCAAAACCAUAUCAAAAUUUCUCUUAUGAAACACAUCGUCAUUGAGGUAGAAACUGCCAGAUAAUCUCCUCAAAGUCUUCUUAUCUUUAACAGAUGCCCCAGGCGGGUAAAUCUGACUCUGAAGAAAACACUUUAUAUCAUAAUACCAUGGCUUAUCAUCUUUCACUUCUUCUACUGCAAAUACAUGAGCUGGUCUAUCCAAGCGCAUCAUAGUGAUAUUAGGAACCUCAUUCGAAAGUCUCACCACAAUCAUAGAAGCAAGUGUAGCUAGUGCAUCUGCCAUCCGAUUCGCAUGUCGAGGAAUAUGAAGGAAUUCAACCUCAGUAAAAAAAGUUGAAAUCCUCCUCGCAUAAUCUCUGUAUGGGAUGAGGCAAGGCUGAUUUGUCUCCCAUUCACCCUUAAUCUGAUUAACAACAAGGGCCGAAUCGCUAUAAACAUCAAGAUGCUUGAUCCUAAGAUCAAUACACUCUUCCAAACCCAUAAUACAGGCAUCAUACUCUACCAUAUUAUUCGUGCAUUUGAAAGUUAGCCUUGCUGUAAAAGGAAAAUGUGUGCCCUGAGGAGUAAUAAUCACUACCCCAAUACCAUUUCCAUAUUGAUUUACAGCGCCACCAAACACCAUGCUCCAUCGAGAACCAGGCUUUGGUCCUUCAUCGAGCGUAGGCUCAUCGCAAUCUUUCAUUUUCAAAUACAGAAUCUCCUCGUCUGGGAAGUCGUACUGAACUGAAUGAUAAUCCUCAAUUGGUUGAUGUGCCAAGUGGUCAGCCAAGAUACUACCUUUAAUAGCCUUCUGAGCCCGAUACUCAAUAUCAUACUCAGACAACAACAUCUGCCAACGGGCAAUCCUCCCAGUUAAAGCAGGCUUCUCAAAGACAUACUUGAUUGGAUCUAUUUUGGAUAUCAACCAAGUCGUAUGAUUCAACAUAUACUGGCGUAAGCGCUUAGCAGCCCAAGCCAAAGCACAACAUGUCUUCUCAAGCAUCGAGUAUCGAGACUCACAAUCAGUGAACUAAGUCGUAUGAUUCAACAUAUACUGGCGUAAGCGCUUAGCAGCCCAAGCCAAAGCACAACAUGUCUUCUCAAGCAUCGAGUAUCGAGACUCACAAUCAGUGAACUUCUUACUCAGGUAGUAGAUAUCACACUCUUUCUUCCCUGUUUCAUCUUGCUGACCAAGGACACAACCCAUAGAGUCUUCAAGAACUGUCAUAUACAUAAUAAAGGGUCUCCCUUCCACGGGAGGAGAUAGAAUCGGAGGCUCGGAAAAAUACUCUUUAAUACUGUCAAAGGCCUUCUGGCAAUCCUCGGUCCAAUCAUGACGCUGAUCUUUCCGGAGGAGCUUGAAUAUCGGCGCACAUGUGGUAGUCAUAUGGGAUAUAAAUCUGGAAAUAUAACUCAAGCGGCCAAGAAAACCUCGGACUUGUUUCUCAGUUUUGGGCGCAGGCAUCUCUUGUAUUGCUUUGACAUUGGCAGGAUCAACUUCAAUACCUCUUUCCCUGACAAUAAAGCCCAAUAACUUGCCGGAACGGACCCCAAAUGUACACUUGUUCGUAUUCAGGCGAAGCUUAUACUUCCUCAAAUGCUGAAAAAGCUUCAACAAGUGCUCAACAUGUUUAACUUCCGUUCUUGACUUCGCAAUCAUAUCGUCAACAUAUACCUCGAUUUCCUUAUGCAUCAUAUCGUGAAAUAAGGUGGUCAUAGCACGUUGAUACGUGGCUCCGGCGUUCUUCAAACUGAAGGGCAUCACUCGAUAACAGAAUGUUCCCCAAGGUGUGAUGAAUGUUGUCUUCUCCAUAUCCUCGGGUGCCAUUUUAAUCUGGUUAUAUCCGGAAAAUCCGUCCAUAAAUGAGAAGACAUUGAAUAUAGAUGUAUUAUCUACCAACAUAUCAAUAUGUGGUAGAGGGAAAUCAUCUUUUGGACUAGCUUUAUUCAAGUCUCUAUUGUCCACACACAUUCGGACUUUUCCGUCUUUCUUAGGCACGGGCACAAUAUUGGCCACCCAUUGAGGAUAUGUAGAAGUCACCAAAAACCCCGCAUCAAUUUGCUUCUGAACUUCUUCUUUAAUCUUCACUGCCAUGUCAGGAUGAGUUCUUCUGAGCUUCUGCUUCACAGGUACAUACUCAGGCUUCAAAGGCAGGAAAUGUUGCACGAUAUCAGUAUCCAGACCAGGCAUGUCUUCAGAUGACCAGGAAAAGACGUCGAUGUAUUCUCGUAGCAACUCAAUCAACCCCUUCUUCACAAAUUCUUCAAGGAGUGCCCCAAGCUUCACUUCUCGCACACAAUCUUCAAAUCCCAAGUUGACUGUUUCCAGAUUUUCAAGAUGUGGAUGAAUGAUCUUCUCUUCGUGCUCAAGUAGACGGGUAAUCUCGUCAGGAAUCUCUUCAACAUUAUCUUCUUCAGACUCAAAUACAGGGAACUCAAAGUUGGGAGAUGGUGUUGGAUCAUUAUGUUCAAUGAUUUUGGAUAUAAAAGAGAUUUCAGAAUUCAAGCAAGGAAAAUCAUUAUGCAGAUGAAAAGAUUGAUUUUAUUCUAUUUUUAGGGUUUUAUGUGAUCACCAAUUUCAUGCAAAAAAGCAAAACAUGAAAAUAAUUGGAAAAAACAAACAUUUAACAUGAAUUUAUUGAAUGAAAUAUCAUUGUAUUUAUGAGACAACAAUGUCAUCACUCCUCCUUUUGGCAUGGGAGAAGGGUUUUAAACAAAAGGUGAACUUUACGUUGACUUAUGGACAACUGUUGGAACAUCAACAACGACCCAGUUAUUACAGACCCCUCCAGGGAUGACAAAGUUGUCAGAAUCUUCAUCUGCAUCCUCUUCCACAAUAGCAGCGGCUUCUUCGUCUUGGACGGUGUGGAUGAAACCACCACUCUGAAACAGCCCAUGCUUGUUGAAAGUGCCCGAAGAAUACCCUAUGCCAGCCCAGGACUUGUUGUCUUCCAUCUUGAUCAUUUGUCCUAAACCAGUAGUUGUGCCAUGCUCAAUGGCCAACUUAGCAUCAUUGUAGGACGUAAAUGAAGAAGUUCCUUUCUUAGAAGGCUCAGCAAUAGAUAAGGCUUGGAACGGCGUCCCAACCUCAUCCUCAGCAUCUAUAUAAGAAAAGGAAGACAGGUGGCUAACCAAGAGAGCCUUCUCUCCCCCUACCACCACCAGCUUUUUGUUCUUGACAAAUUUCAAUUUCUGGUGUAGGGUGGAUGUCACGGCGCUUGCCUCGUGAAUCCAUGGUCUUCCUAACAGAUAGCUAAAUGAUGGGUGGAUAUCCAUGACCUGAAAAGUGAUCUGGAAAUCACUUGGUCCAAUCUUGACUAGGAGUUCAACCUCUCCAAUCACGGUCUUGCGGGAUCUAUCAAAAGCUUUUACAACCACUUCACUCUACCUCAUGGGAGGCCCCUGGUAUGACAGUCUAGCAAGAGUGGAUUUUGGCAACACAUUCAGUGAUGAUCCAGUGUCUACCAGCACAUUAGACAUGGCAUCAUCCUUAUAACUCAUAGAUAUGUGAAGUGCCAAAUUGUGGUCUCUUCCCUCCUCGGGGAGAUCAGCAUCAUAAAAACUCAAAUUGUUACAAGCAGUAAUGUUUGCAACAAUACUAUCGAAUUAUUCUAUUGUGACAUCGUGAUCUACAUACGCCACAUCCAACAUCUUCUGCAGAGCUUCUCGGUGUGGUUCUGAGUUUAUUAACAAAGAUAGCGCAGAGAUCUUUGAUGGCAUUUGUAGAAGCUGAUCUACAACGUUGUAUUCACUCCUCUUGAUGAGCCUCAGCAUCUCAUCACAAUCCUCUUUUAUCAUGCCAUUCUGGCCAGUAGGGAAAUGAGUUUUUACGGCGGUGGCAGGUUUAUUAGCAUUAAGUGCCAGAUUCAGAGCAACAAGAGAAUUUCAAACCGAACGAACAACACAAUCAGCAACAUCAUCCCUUCUGGUUUCAGCCUGGGGUUUCGGUGGAGCCGAGAAAACGAGACCACUACGGUCAGGCCGCUGACAUCAACAAUAUUAACCACAGAGGUAGAGGGCAAGGGCACCUCCAUCCCAUCUUCCAAUGCCACAACAUUGUAACGAUAGGGGACAGCCUUAUUAGAAGAAUAUGGCACAUGGCCAGCUUGUUUGAUUAUGAGAGAGGGGGAAGCCUUCUGCUUGCUGCCAUUAUAUCGGAUGACAACAGGCUCUAGGAUCCUGAAUACUGGUAAUAUCACAUUAACUUCAUCAUCCCCGUCGCGAUUCUGAAGUAUUUCUAUUACACCUUCAUCCAUCAUUUCUUGGAUGUCUUUUCGGACUUGACGAUACCCCAUCUGAUUGACAGUGCAAACACGGAAUCUGUCAUGGUGAUGCUCAUAAUGACUGUAUUCACACAACAUUCUGUGCAUCUCGACCAAAGAUUGUCGCAUAUGGCUGACAUAUCGGACCUUAUAUUUACCAGGGCAGCCCUGGACCAUGUUGAUAGCAGAUUUCCCAUGCUCGGGCAAUGGGUUCUUCUUGACGUUAGGACCUACGUCCUCGAAACACAAUAUACCGCUCAUAACAAGGUCUUGAACCUUGGUCUUCAGCGGGUAGCAGUUCUCCACAUCAUGUCCGGGAGCGUCGAAAUGAUAAACACAAUGUAGCUCUGGCUUAUACCCCCACUGAGGGUUGGUAGGUAUAGCCGGUGGGUCACGUGGAGUGAUAAGUUUCCUCUCUAUCAAAGAGGGAUAAAGCUCGGCAUAGGUCAUGGGAAUAGGAUCAAAACUGACCCUCUUCCAAUCAUAGCUUGUACUGGUCUGAUUAUUGUUUCGAGGCAGGUAGGCCUACUGUUGAGGACGGUGCUGUUGUUGUUGAUAUUGUUGGUGUUAUUGUUGUUGGUUCUGAUUAUUAUGCUAAUAGUGUUGGUUUUCUCUGAAAAUAGGUGCUAUGUGAGCCACCUGAUGCUGAUUACCGGCGGGACGCACGGUCUUCCUCUUCACAGAGGGUCUUAUGGGUUUAACAUGGGAGGUCACAGCAUGUGCCUCACCAUCUUUCUUCUUUACAAAUGCCCCAUAUUGUUUGGCAGAAGAGCAUUCUUCUCUAGUCAGGAGCCCUUCCCUGACUCCUUCCUCCAAAUGCAUCCCCAUAUUCACCAUCUCGGUGAAGUCAGAAGGAGCGCUGGCAAUCAUCCGCUCAUAAUAGAAUGAGCUCAAGGUCUUCAGGAAGAUCUUGGUCAUCUCUUUCUCUUCCAGCGGAGGCACAAUCUGUGCAGCUAGUUCUCGCCACCUCUGGGCGUACUCCUUGAAAGAUUCCUUGUCAUUCUGGGACAUGGCUCUCAAUUGAUCCCUAUCGGGAGCCAUAUCCACGUUAUAUUUGUACUGCUUGAUGAAAGCUUCACCAAGGUCAUUGAAGGAUCGGAUGUUCGCGUUGUCCAAACCCAUGUACCAUCCCAGGGCGGCACCGGACAGGCUGUCCUGGAAAUAAUGAAUGAGGAGAUGAUCAUUGUCGGUCUGAGUCGACAUCUUCCUCGCAUACAUAACCAAGUGGCUGAGAGGGCAAGUAUUUCCCUUGUACUUUUCAAAGUCAGGUACUUUGAACUUUACAGGGAUCUUGACAUUAGGAACCAGGUAGAGUUCAGCAGCAGACUUGCGAAAGAGGUCCUUCCCUCUGAGAGUUUUGAGUUCCUUACGGAGCUCAAGGAACUGAUCAUUCAUAGCAACCAUCUUUUCAUACACAUCUGGGCCCUCAGACGGCUUAGAGUGGUAAAUGGUGUCGUCUACCCUUGGCAUAAUAUGCACGACCGGAGGUGGAACGGCGAGGACCGGGCAAGAUGCCGGCAGAGAAGCAAACAUGGGGGCAAGACCCUCAGGAACAAAAUUCGCGGGCAUCCCCCAGGGAAACCCGGCUGGCAUAGCAGUUGGCACGAAAUGGGCACUAGCAGCAGACACUAUCGAGGAGGCAAUCUCAGAGAUGACUGUCCUCUAGGGAGGAGUUGAUGGCGUUGGAGACGACUGGCCUUGGGCGGCCAUGAAAGACUCCAUCAGGGCAAUCAAUCUCGCCACUUCCUCCUUGAGUUCUCUGUUCUCUUACUCUAAGUGAUCCAUCAGUCUUGAAGAGUUGGCUUUGGUGUAGCACCGGUGAGUCAGCUUGUCUUCAAAAUAAAUGAAGAACACAGAGUUAGACCAUUGAACAAGAAGCCUGGAGUAAAACCUGCUUAAGCACAUGAUGCAUGCGAUGCUUGUGCAUAUGAUUUAUUUUAUUUAUCAGAGGAACUUUAGAGUCCUAUUUGCAAAUAUUGAAAAUAUUAAUCAUUUAGACAUAUAUGGAAAUAUCAUAUCAAUAAUAUCUGGAAAAAAACUUUACACCAAAGAAGUACAGUCUUGGUAACCAAUAUACAAUACAAGAGAGAAGGAAAAUGAACAUCCUAUGGAACCCUAGAAACAAUCGUCUAAAGCUCUCGAGACUGGAAGAUAAGCUGCACGAAGCCUCUUCACCUUUCUCUCGUAGGCUGCCUCCAUAUCUGCCUUCUCUUUGGCGAGUCGAUCGUACUUCCUCUUCCAGAACUUGGAAGACUGAGGAAGAAGAAAAGUCACCACAUCAUCAGGCUCAUCGAUAACCUGAUGCUCAAGGAACUCUAUCAACGCAUCCUUAUCUUUAAGCUGCUGAAGUAGCUCCUCUCGCUCAUGGAUCCAAGCAUGCGAGCCGUCUUCGUUUCUCAACUCUUCUACUCAUUGGUCAGGGAGGGUUGAAGGCCCAACCACAACCAAAGGUGUAGGUCUCGGAUACUCGUAAGGCAUAAGGUACUCGGAAGCUCUCCUCCUCACCCACGAGGUAUAGGGUUCCAAAGCAAUACAGUUCUUCGGACCAAGCUCUUUCCUUCCCUGCCUACGGAUCUUGCGCCAAGCGCGGACCAUCCUGUCCUUCAAGCCUUGGGGAUCUUUACUCUCUUGAAAGAAUACACCUUCUAGUAGAAUGUUAUUGGGUUUAUCCUUUAAGGGGAACCCAAGCUGACGACGUGCUAAAAUAGAGUUGUAGUUAAUCCCGCCACAUGUACCAAGAAGAGGUGUGAGCAAAUUCUUUACUUUGAAUAAGUUUUGAAUGAUAGCAAAUUGUGUGAUCAUUGUCUAAUUAUUGGUUGUGCAUUAUUUUACAUGUUUCAUUUGUGUUUUUAGCCUAUACUAUUGUUUCGUAAUUAUUCUAUGUAUCGAUACAUACGAGCUUUGUAUCGAUACAUGCUUAGUUAAAAUGUUCUAUGUAUCGAUACAUACGAGCUUUGUAUCGAUACAUGCUUAGUUAAAAUGUUCUAUGUAUCGGAUACAUCGAGCUUGAUCGAUAAUGCUUGUAUAAUUAUAUAAAAUUAAUCAAAGCUACAGUAUGUAUCGAUGCAUAUUCUUUUGUAUCAAUACAUAAUUCUGUUUUGUCUACUAACAGCUUCUGUCUUUCACAUAUAAGAAGUAUUUUGACAGCUCAGUUAAAAACACACGAAUUCAGAAGUGAAAAACAGUUGUAGCACAAAUCAAAGGAGUGUGUAGCAACAAUUGUUUUUGAGCAGUUAGAAACUUGAAAGAGACUUCAUCUUCUUCAUCUUCUUCAUCUUCUCAAUCUCUUUUCUUCAAGAACAUCAACAUAUAAUCAUUCUUGUUCUUUGGAUUAAAGGAUCAACGAGAUAACGUUCAGUGGAACGUUCAAGGAUCUAGCUGAGGUGUUCAGUGGAACGAUCGAGGAUCUAGCUGCGUUGAAAGUUGAAGGGGGUUUCGAGGAAAAACCAAAUGGUUUGUCCUUCAAGAAUUGGAGUGUUCUUGCGGGUUUAUUAGUCACGUUUGCUGAACAGAUUCAGCCGUAGCGUAGGGUUUGGAAAUUGGGUAAUUUCGCAAACAGGUCGUGGAACCGGUGAAUUGUUUGCAAUUUCUUGCAGGAAAUUCUUGAUCGAGCUCAGAUCAAGUGGAGGUUUUACAGAGAAGAAGAUCUUGAUAUUUAGAUUUCUUUCUUUUGUAUUGUAACCUUAUAUCACGAAUUCGGCAUAUAACAGUUCUCAAUUUCAUUUGAAAUUGAGAGGGAGACGUACCCACACGCGAGGACGACAGUGGGGAACUUCCUUACCAAAUCUCUGCGUAUCGUAUUCUUUCCUUAUCUCUCUUUACUUUUUCAACAGUUUUGUGAUUUCAGUUGGUGUAUUGUGGCUGUACAUUUCGUGAUACAAUAGUGGCAAGAAAACUUCUUUAUCUAAACUCCACCACUGUUCAUCAUUGAUCACACACACACCAAAUGUUUGACAAAACUGUCAGCUGAGUUUUAUUCAUUGGAAUUAGAAUUUAGUGAUAAGUGCAUUUGAUUUGAUAAUAUUCUGGUGUUAAUAAUCUCUAUCGUUCUAAUUCAAAUCCAGCAAUAAACUCGCGUGUCCGGUUUUCUAGUAGCGGUUCAGAAUAGACGGAAGUCGAUUCGGGACUGUAAUUUUCCGCUAAGUAUCAAUAACUCUGAUAAGGAUUUUUAAAUCCGUUUAUUUUAAAAGAGGUGAUCUAUUCACCCCCCUCUCGAUCACUAGCCACACCGUCUAACAAGCGGUAUCAGAGCGCCGGUUCGCUGGUGUUCUGUGGCUGCCUGUAACGAUAUGGAUUCUGAACCAAAGGGGGCGUAUAAUAGAGCGCCGAUUUUCAACGGUGAAAAUUACGGCUACUGGAAAGACUGCAUGCGAGUUCAUAUAAAUUCUGUUGAUAGGCUAGUAUGGGCUGCCAUUGAAAAUGGUCCUUUUCAAAUUACUAUGACAAAUGCGGCUGGCGCCAUAGUUCCUAAACCAGAAGGUGAUUAGAAAUGAGAAAGAUAGAAAAAGUGGUCGAGUGAUUGGAGAGCUCGAAAUAUGCUAUUUCAGCACUUGGUGUUGAUGAGUAUUAUCGGGUAUCCCAUUGCACGACAGCUAAAGAAAUGUGGGAUGCUUUAGAAGUUGCCCAUGAGGGUACUACUGAAGUAAAACAGUCCCGCAUUAACAAACUCAAUCAAGAGUUUGAGCUCUUUCGCAUGAAACAAGGAGAAUCUAUCUCCGACAUGCAAAAGAGAUUUAUUCAUCUCACUAAUCGUUUGAAUGCACUUGGAAAACCUGUUUCCAAUGAAAUAGCUACUAAUAAAUUUCUGAGAUGUCUUAGCAGGGAAUGGCAACCUAAAGUAACAACUAUUAAGGAAGCCAACGAUCUAACGACACUUACGAUUACAACUCUGUUUGGAAAGUUGGAAGAACAUCAACAAGCAUUAGAAAGUCUUGAAAAGUUUGAGAACAAAAGUAAGAAGGAAAAGGAGAAGAAGAGAGACAAAAAGGGAGAGAAGAAGCCAAUAGUUCUUGUGGCCUCUAGCUCUAAGUCCUCACGAAAAGAGCAAAGUGACAAUGAUUCUAGUAGUGACAAAGAUUCCGAUGAUGAGGAAAUGGGACUUUUUGUAAGGAGAUAUAAUAGAUUCAUUCGAAAGAAUGGAGUCAAGCAUUCCGACAAAAACCUCAUGAAGUUUCAAAGACAAUCUACAGAUUCAAAACAGGAAGAGAAUAAGAAGAGUAGAGGAAAAGGAUCUUGUUUUAAUUGUGGUAAAUCUGGACAUUAUAAAAUAGAUUGUCCUAUGAAGUAUAAGGAUCAAGGAAAAGCUCCACCAAAAGGGUACAACAAACAAAGAAGAGCUUACAUUGCAUGGGAAAGUGAUAGUGAUUCAUCAAGCACACAAAGUUCAAGUGAUAGUGAUGAAACCGCAAAUCUGUGCCUUAUGGCUCACACCAAAAAUCUGUCCUACCACAAGAAGAAAAUCAAUGAUAAAAAGGUAAAACAAGCCUAUUAUAAUAAUUUCUCUUCUAUGUCUUUUUCUGAACUGAAAAUAGCUUUUGAAAAACUGCAUAACGAAGCUGUAGAUGCUUUUAAAAGAUUAUCUUCCGAUAAACAAAUUUUUUCAUUUCUGGAAGGUAAAGUAUACAAAGCUGAAAAAGAUUUAGAAUGGUUAAAAGCUAGUAUUGCAGAAAAUUCAAAAAAUAUUGACAUUGAUGGAUGUAGUAAAGUUGGGUAUUGUGAAGCUUGUCAUAUUUGGCAACAAGAGGUAAACACUCUCAAGGUCAAAUUGGAAAAAGCUUUACAACCUAAGGUUACUUAUGCCGUUGACUCUAGGUUGUUUAAGAAGUCAUUAAAUCCACCAUAUGCAAAAUACUCUUUUAUUCCAAAGGAUUUAAUGAACAAGAAUAAACAAACACAUCAUCAUGGUUUAUGUCAUUAUUGUUGUCGUGCUGGCCAUACCAUUGAGAAAUGCAAGUUUAGGAGAUUUCUUGUUCCUAAAGGUAUUUAUCAAUGGAAGCCAAAAGGCAACCAUGUUAGCACUUACCCACUUGGACCCAAUGAAAAUUGGGUACCAACUUCUCUCUUUUGAUAUUGUAGGAUGAGUGCCUUGCUUCCGUAGAUAGGAGAUGGUUUCUUGACAGCGGUUGCUCAAGGCACAUGACCGGUGACAUAUCGCUUUUUAUAGACUUCAAAGCAAAGAAGAAGGGAUAUGUUACUUAUGGAGACAAUAACAAAGGAGCUAUACUUGGCAAAGGUAGUGUAGGUAAUCCCUCUACCACUACUAUUUCUGAUGUCCAUUUAGUAGAGGGGCUUAAACACAAUUUGUUAAGCAUAAGUCAAUUGUGUGACAAGGGUUAUAAAGUUUCUUUCACAAAAACUUGCUGCAUAAUUGAACAUGCUGAACAGAACGUUGUGUUUAAGGGUGUAAGAGUAAACAAUAUCUAUAUGCUUGACCUUUUUGAUGUAUCUUUAACAAGUACUAAAUGUCUAGUUACCUUGAAUGAUGAUUCUUGGCUUUGGCAUAGACGUUUAGCGCAUGUUAGUUUUGAUUUGCUUAAUAAGGUUGUAUCUAAGGAUCUAGUAGUCGAUCUUCCAAAAAUAAAAUUUUCAAAAGACCACCUAUGUGACGCGUGCCAAAUGGGAAAACAAACGAGGGUCUCUUUUAAAUCUAAAAAUGUAAUUUCAACUUCACGAUCCCUUGAGCUUCUCCAUAUGGAUCUCUUUGGACCUUCUAGGACAAAGAGCAUAGGUGGAAAUUAUUAUGGUUUUGUAAUCGUUGAUGACUAUUCUAGAUUUACUUGGACUAUAUUCCUUCAUAGGAAAGAUGAAACUUUUUCUGCUUUUAACAAUUUUGCAAAUCUGUCCCAAAACAAAAUGAAUUCCAAAAUAGUUACAAUUCGUAGCGAUCAUGGUGGUGAAUUUCAAAACUAUCACUUUGAUAAGUACUGUGACAAGUAUGGUAUUAAGCAUAACUUUUCAGCUCCUCGAACUCCACAACAAAAUGGCGUUGUGGAGCGUAAAAAUCGUGUUUUAGAGGAGUUGGCAAGAACAAUGCUAAAUGAGGGUGGAUUACCAAAAUACUUUUGGGCUGAUGCAGUUAGCACAGCUUGUUAUGUUUUAAACAGGAUCUUAAUUCGUCCUAUUUUAAAUAAAACUCCUUAUGAGCUUUUAAAAGGAAGAAAGCCAAACUUGUCACAUCUUCACGUAUUCGGUUGUAAGUGUUUUGUUUUGAAUAAUGGUAAGGAAAAUAUUGGGAAGUUUGAUGCAAAAGCGGAUGAAGGUAUCUUUCUUGGAUACUCACAAUCAAGUAAAGCAUAUAGAGUAUAUAAUAAGCGUUUACUUACUGUUGAAGAAUCUGUCCAUGUUUCUUUUGAUGAGUCUUAUCCGAAAAGUGUCGGAAAAGGUAUUUCUUUUGAUGACGCAGGUGUAUCUACAGAAGACAUACUCAAGGAAGCUGUUACGGAAACUGAUCAGUCCAGAACAGUUGCCCAUGAGAAGGAGGAAGAUACUAGUCAUGAAGAAGAUGAGGAAGAAAGGACAGCUGAAGUGAAUGACCUUCCACCAGCUUGGAAAUCUUCAAAAGACCAUCCUAUUGACAACAUCUUGGGAGAUAUUUCAAAGGGAGUAAUGACUCGUUCUAAGAUAAGUAAUUUUUGUUCUCACUUCGCUUUUGUUUCACAAGUAGAACCUAAAAAUGCCAAAGAGGCCUUGAUUGAUGAAUUUUGGCUAAUGGCCAUGCAAGAAGAGCUUAAUCAAUUUAAAAGAAAUGACAUUUGGGAACUUGUCCCUCGUCCGCGAGAUCAUCAUAUCAUAGGUACUAAAUGGGUUUUUAGAAAUAAGCUUGAUGAAAACGGAGUGAUAACUAGGAACAAGGCACGUUUAGUAGCACAAGGGUAUAACCAAGAGGAGGGCAUAGACUAUGAGGAAACUUAUGCUCCAGUUGCUCGCCUUGAAGCUAUACGUCUCUUGCUUGCCUAUGCGUGUUCUAAUAAUUUUAAGCUUUACCAAAUGGACGUAAAGAGUGCGUUUCUAAAUGGUGUCAUAAAUGAAGAGGUAUAUGUCUCACAACCUCCUGGUUUUGAGAAUGCUGAAAAUCCAGAUUAUGUUUACAAAUUAAAACGAGCUUUGUAUGGUCUUAAACAAGCCCCUCGGGUUUGGUAUGAAAGGCUUAGCAAAUUUCUAAUUGAUCAUGGAUAUUCAAGAGGUAAAGUGGAUAAUACUCUCUUUAUUAAACACAAGGGAAAGCACAUUCUUUUAGUUCAAGUUUAUGUAGACGAUAUAAUUUUUGGUUCAACUAACACACACUUGGUCGAAGAAUUUUCUAAGGUUAUGCAGGGUGAAUUUGAGAUGAGUCUUAUGGGGGAGCUGAAUUACUUCCUAGGUCUUCAGAUAAAGCAACUUGAUGAGGGUACAGCAGUAUGUCAAACAAAGUACUGCAGAGAACUACUCAAGCGCUUUGGAAUGAACGACUCAAAAUCAAUUGACACCCCUAUGCCUACCAACGGAAAUCUAGAUAAAGAUGAGCAUGGUAAGAGUGUAGAUGUCAAAAAGUUUAGAGGUAUGAUUGGGUCUCUUCUGUAUCUUUCUGCUUCUAGACCUGACAUCAUGUUUAGUGUUUGUAUGUGUGCACGAUAUCAAUCAAAUCCUAAGGAAUCACACCUGAAAGUUGUUAAGCGUAUAUUUAGAUAUCUUCAUGGAACAUCUAAAUAUGGGCUUUGGUAUUCCAAAGGAAGUGAUUGUAGCUUAGUAGGUUACUCCGAUUCUGAUUUUGCUGGCUGCAAGUCAGAUAGGAAAAGCACGAGUGGUACAUGUCACUUGUUUCCAAACUCCUUGGUAAGUUGGCAUAGCAAAAAGCAGGUAUCUGUGGCUUUGUCAACUACAGAGGCAUAGUACGUUAUAGCCGGUAGUUGUUGCGCUCAGAUUUUGUGGCUAAAGCAACAACUACAAGACUUUAACAUUCAACUCAAACGUAUUCCAAUAAAAUGUGACAACACUAGUGCCAUAAACCUUACUAAAAAUCCUGCUUUACACUCACGCACUAAACACAUAGAGAUUAGACAUCACUUUCUUCACGAUCAUGUUGAAAAAGAAGACGUUGUAUUUGAGCAUGUUGAUACUAAAAACCAGCUUGCUGACAUUUUCUCUAAACCUUUGGCAACGGAACCGUUCUUCAACAUUCGUCGUGAAUUAGGGAUCUUAGAUCUCUCUCCAUUGUUGUCUUAAGCAUGUUUGUUCUUAUUUAUAUUAUGCCUCACCUUGGUUGAUGAGAUUUGUUUUAGAUUUCAUUUAUACCUCACAAGGUUACAUCAACAGAGGUAAUAUCACUCCUUUCUAUAUCUCUUUUAGAACUAUGUGAUUGUGUAUGUUAGAACAAAAUUCCUUAUUUUCGUUUAUGUGAAUUUCUUUGCAUAUAUUGUUUGAACAUUAAUAUCUGAUUUGUGAAUUAUACUUGGGCAUCAUUAUCAUGACAUACUUCAUAAUGCAUAACCAUACUGCAUAAAAAUUAAUUAAAAUUUGGUUUGGCAUCAGUAUGUAUCGAUUCAAAGAUGUAUGUAUCGAUUCAUGUCUUCUUCAUUUCACAUCUGUCAAAAUUGGUUCAGUAUGUAUCGAUUCAUUCGUCGUUUGUAUCGAUACAUAGACCCUUUAAAAACAAAAAUGCGUGACAUGGAUCGAUCCAUUCCCAUAUGCAUCGACACAUACUGAUUGUUAUUUGGAUUAAAUGCAUUUUAUUUCACUCAUGGAUCGACACAUCAGCAAUUCUUAUCACAUCUUUUCACAAACUUGGUAUCAGCAGUUCCCCUACCUCUCAAAACCUGCGGCUAACCCUAAUCUCCUUCAUCAUCAUUCUCUCCAAAACCCUAAAUUCAUCUCACUUUUCUUCAAUUUUUCAUCACCAUGCCUCCAAGAAUCAUUCCGGCUAGAGCAAGGGGAAAAGGAAAAGGAAAGGAACCGGUUGGCACUUCUCAGCAGUUACCAGAAAUUCCUCCUAAUGCCUUAGAUUUGCUUCAUCCUGCAAUUGCUACUGAGUUUGAGGAUUCUUUCAAGACAAGGUUAGUUAUGAAACCCCAUGUCUUCGAUAAACAUGAUGUUAUUCAUCUGCAUCUCAAUGAUGUGGUUGAACUCCUUAAUGCACAAAAACUUGGUUCAUUUUUUACUACAAAGGAUGAUUACCAUGAGGAUUUUAUCCGUGCAUUUUAUGCUGGCUUACAAUCUGGUAAAGGAUAUAUGUUUAAGUGUUCUAUUGGUGUCAGAACCUAUACUUUUGAGGCUGCUGAUUGGGAAACAGUGUUUCAAAUUCCGCUUCCGUCGCAUAAUUUCAAGACUUGGCAUGACUUGAAGUUUGAUACUGACUUUAACCUGAAGGAGUUUACUCUAUCUAUCUUGAAAUUGGACAGACCGCUGGGUGAGGAUGAACAGGUUACGUCUGGUAUGAUUAAGAAAAUUCCUCGUAUACUUCAGUGGAUUAUCUCGCACAUUCUGCGUCCAGCAAACAGUGGACAUUCUAGGUUAGACAGGGCAGGCAUUCAUCUCUUGUAUACUCUUCAAAAUAAGGUUCCCUUGAAUUGGGCAAAUUACUUUGUGAAGCGUCUCUUUUUCGUGCGUAACAGUGCCAAGAAUGUUGCUCUUGGUUAUGCGUCUCAAAUCAUGAAAAUUCUUACGUUCUGGAAUGUUGCAAUCCCUUUAGUUCCUCUCAUAUCACCAUCUGCUGCUCAAGAGUUUGACUCUUCCACUUUAUCUCAUAUGGGAUAUCGGUGGGACAAGGAACGUCAAUGUUUCUAUUUCUUUGAAAGGAAAUCCAAAACAAGGAUCUAUAAUUUUGAUGUGCCUUCUGAACGAAUUCAUGUAGUUGAAGACCAACCUGAUGAAGAAAUGCAUGAUGUGAACGAAGCAGAUGUGCCUGCAGCUGAUGACAAUGCUGGUUGGGGUGAUUGGGUGCCACAAAGGUGGUCUCCAACCAACUAUGUACCUGAACCAACGGUUCCUCCGUUCUCCGGCGGUGCUUCAUCUUCAACACCUACUGCGCACCUAACUCAAAUGCUUCAACAAAUGGAGCUUGCCAACCAAGAACGUCAUGAAGAGGCACGGUCUUGGCAUGUACAACAAAGUGAGUGGUAUAAGGAGCACCGUGAGUGGCAUGACGAUCAUACACGGAUGUACCAUAACCAAUACUCUUGGCACACAGACUUGGUUAAGUGGCACCAAGUCUUCUACAAUGAUGUCUGGUUUUAUGGACGACUGCCGUGCCAAUCCUGGUAUUAUGGACAUAUUCAGAAGUGUUGAAGUUCAGGACUGGUUCAGGCACUACACCUUCGUGGGCCACAAUCCAGAUGCAAUGCCUCCUCCUCCGCCUCCGCCAAGCUUCAGAGAUCCUGAUAGAGAUGACGAGGAGUCAUGUGGUGGCUAUAAUCCACAUUAAACCAUCAUCAUUUCAUUUCACUGCAUUUUAUUGCAUGUUGCUUGAGUUUUUUUCUUUUCAGAUUAGUUGCACCUUAUAUGUAUUGGCUUAUGUAAUUUUUAAAUACUUUCUACUAGUUAAAUGCUUAUUUCCUUCUGCUUACUUCUGGUGUUAUUGCCCUUAUUUGUCAUUCUUUGUGAGUGAUUCUUUAAUUUUUAAGCUUCCUUCUUUGUGAUUGUUAGCUUCUUUAUCAUUUUUGCUAUGUCCUGCUACAACAUGUUGCCUUGAUAAAACUGUUUUUUUCUUCUUUUUGAUGUUGACAAAGGGGGAGAAAUGCAGAUGUUGACAGAUAUGCACAAACUCAGGGGGAGUAUCACACAUCUUGCUAAAAAUUUGCCAUCAUCAAAAAGGGGGAGUUUGUGAGCAAAUUCUUUACUUUGAAUAAGUUUUGAAUGAUAGCAAAUUGUGUGAUCAUUGUCUAAUUGUUGGUUGUGCAUUAUUUUACAUGUUUCAUUUGUGUUUUUAGCCUAUACUAUUGUUUCGUGUCUAUACAUAAAGAUCCACAUUGAUACAUUUCUUAAAAGAACUCAUAAAAACUGUUUUGUGUCAGUAUGUAUCGAUACAUGUUCAUCUGCAUCGAUACAUAAAUUUGUUUUAAAUCACAAAACGUUUUUGCUUCAGUAUGUAUCGAUACAUACGAGCUUUGUAUCGAUACAUGCUUAGUUAAAAUGUUCUAUGUAUCGAUACAUACGAGCUUUGUAUCGAUACAUGCUUAGUUAAAAUGUUCUAUGUAUCGAUACAUACGAGCUUUGUAUCGAUACAUGCUUAGUUAAAAUGUUCUAUGUAUCGAUACGUACGAGCUUUGUAUCGAUACAUGCUUGUAUUAAUUCUCUAAACUUAAUCAAAGCUACAGUAUGUAUCGAUGCAUAUUCUUUUGUAUCAAUACAUAAUUCUGUUUUGUCUACUAACAGCUUCUGUCUUUCACAUAUAAGAAGUAUUUUGACAGCUCAGUUAAAAACACACAAAUUCAGAAGUGAAAAACAGUUGUAACACAAAUCAAAGGAGUGUGUAGCAGCAAUUGUUUUUGAGCAGUUAGAAACCUGAAAGAGACUUCAUCUUCUUCAUCUUCUUAAUCUCUUUUCUUCAAGAACAUCAACACAUAAUCAUUCUUGUUCUUUGGAUUAAAGGAUCAACGAGAUAACGUUCAGUGGAACGAUCAAGGAUCUAGCUGAGGUGUUCAAUGGAACGAUCGAGGAUCUAGCUGAGUUGAAGGUUGAAGGGGGUUUCGAGGAAAAACCAAAUGGUUUGUCCUUCAAGAACUGGAGUGUUCUUGCGGGUUUGUUAGUCACGUUUGCAGAACAGAUUCAGCCGUAGCGUAGGGUUUGGAAAUUGGGUAAUUUCGCAAACAGGUCGUGGAACCGGUGAAUUGUUUGCAAUUUCUUGCAGGAAAUUCUUGAUCGAGCUCAGAUCAAGUGGAGGUUUUAUACAAGAAGAAGAUAUUAGGAUUUAGAUUUCUGUCUUUGUAUUGUAACCUUGUAUCAACGAAUUCGGCAUUAUUGAUAACAACAGUUCUCCAUUUCAUUUGAAAUUGAGAGGGAGACGUACCCACACGCGAGGACGACAGUGGGGAACUUCCUUACCAAAUCUCUGCGUAUCGUAUUCUUUCCUUAUCUAUCUUUACAUUUUCAACAGUUUUGUGAUUUCAGUUGGUGUAUUGUGGUUGUACAUUUUGUGAUACAAUAGUGGCAAGAAAACUUCUUUAUCUAAACUCCGCCAUUGUUCAUCAUUGAUCAUAUACACACCAAAUGUUUGACAAAACUGUCAGCUGAGUUUUAUUCAUUGGAAUUAGAAUUUAGUGAUAAGUGCAUUUGAUUUGAUAAUAUUCUGGUGUUAAUAAUCUCUAUUUCGUUCUCGAUCAAAUCCAACAAUAAAUUCGCGCGUGUCCGGGUUUCUAGUAGGCGUUCAGAAAACAUUUAGAUAAAGCAAUACGGCGAAGUCGAUUCGGGACUGUAUAUUUCCGCCUAAGUAUCAUAACUCGAUAAGAUUUUUUAAAAUCCUGUUUAAUUUAAACAGAGGGUGACUACUUCACGAUCCCCACCCCCCUCUCGAUCACAAGAGGCACAUUGAAGAAUUCAGCACAAGAGUCGAUAAUCUACACACCAUCGUAUACACGGUUGUACCAAAAGAUAUCAUCAUUAGUGAGAGACAUAAGCCUCAUGGACCACCGUAGACAUCCUUUGUUCUCCUUGAAGGCGACCGUCUAUGGCAAGUGCGAAAUAAACCACUUGUACAACAGAGCAAACAGCACACAAUGGUACCACCACCCUUUGCGUUCCUCAUAUGCAAAGAGAAAUAAGUGUCACCCAACAGAGUCCGAACAGGAUUAAGAGUGGAGAAAAUCCUAAUAGCGUUCAUAUCCACAAAUUUGUCGAUGUUGGGAAAUAACACUAGCCCAUAGAUGAGAAGUACAAAUAUAGACUCAAAGGCGUCCUCGCUCAUGGCCUUCCCAUACAAAGUAGCUUGAGCAAUGAGGAAAUCAGAAGGGAGACCUUGAAUUCCACCUUUGCUAGUCAUAUGAGCACCAACCAGAGAUUCAUCUAUAUGCAACAAAUCAACAAUCUCUUGAGAAGUAGGAACCCUCUCUAAGCCACUGAACGGCAACUGAUCUAGGAUAGGUAUACCCACAAGAUAGACAUACUCCUCAAGCGUGGGCAAAAGCUGAAAAUCCAGAAAUGUGAAGCAACGGUACAAGGGAUCAUAGAACUGCACCAAUACACUCAUCAGACCUUCAUCCACUUGAGUGGCAAGAAUAGACAGAAGCUUCCCAUGACGAGCCUUGAACUCCAAGGGAUCUAAUACAUAGGAUGUCAAACUCCUUAGCUCUUUCAAGUCGGGUUGUCUGAAGUUGUACUUCUUUGUAUUCCUUCUUUGUCUAUCCAUGUCUGAAAAUUUGCAAAUAGACCUCUUAAGUUCCUUGAAAAUUUUCUCAUUAUUGAUGAUAUGGAUGUAAAUGGAUGCAUGAAUGCAUCGAUGCAACAAUCACACUCAAGGAUCAAGCAAAGCACACCACACAAAGGUCAUGGGAUGGAUCAAGUCAUCCUUAAUAUCAAUCAUCCAUUUUGGUGGAUUAUGGUUUACACCCUUCUCACACCCAAGUCCAUUGAGAGAGAAGGAUAUAAACACAGAACCUGAUAAACCAUGAACUCAACCGGUUUGUAUACAAGUCACCGAAGCGUGGAAGUCUCGUCUAAGAACCACCCAAAGGGCAUCUGUACCUAGGGUUAAACCUGAAACCACUCAUGUCUAAACAAGAGGUUCCCAUAGUCAUCAUCCCAUCUUUCGGAUAUUAUCGGAUAAACGACUACUCGUAUUCCAAAAAUAUUCUCAAGAGAGACUCUUAUGAGUGUAGUAUCGCGUAACGAUCGUAUCAAAUCUUACACUUGAACGACCUUCGCACUACGUCCUAAAAAUAGGCCAAGAUGGGCUUGGUAAACUAAGGUCCUUGGCUUCUAAGGUCUAUAUUGUAAAGAGUAAUGCCUAACCACGACGACUCGUGUGACAUUAUUGAUCCCAACAUGACCUCCACCAAGUGAAUGGGUUUGCAAGUCAACUUGCUAAGGAAUAACUCCACACAAGUCAAUAAGACUAUGCCAUUCUCUUAUUCUAAGUGCACUCAAGUUCGGGUAUAGAACUCAUCUCACAAAGAUCACCAAGCAUACAAGGAAUUAAUAUAUCAAGCAAUUCAAUCAUUACAUACAAUACAGUAAUCCCAAAUUGCACAUAAAUAUGUCACAAAAUAAUAUACACAAUACAAUACAACAAAUGUGAAAAGUAGGCAAAACCCACUAGGCAAAUGUCCCCAGCGGAGUCGCCACUUUUCUGUAAAUCAUACAAUUUGAGUCGCCACCACACUUCUAUUUAUCCAAAGGGAAGGUUAGAAAGCGAACAAAAAUCGAGAAGUUUUAUCGAAUCAAAAACUAAUAAAAAUGUCAGAGAUCAGGGUAAGGGGGUUGGUUAUGCAAUGGGAAGGUUUUAAGCACCCAAAACAUCCUAGGUACUCCUAGGGAGCCCUUUUCAUAAUUUGUUGUAAGGUAGGUUGGUAUUUGGAAAAAAAUAUUUGUGCAAACAUGAUUGGGGAGAUGAGAGAAGAAUGUACAAAUUAUUUAUAAUUUUGUGUUUGAAUGGAUAAACCCAUUGCCUACGUACCAUCUUAAAAAAGGAUUAGGAUCAAAACCUCGUAGUUCGGGAUAAAAAUCUCAAAACAAGUUGGUGAAUUGAUUGGUCCAAAAGCCUCAAGGUCUUUUGUUAUCCAAGGGAGAAAACUCGACCUAAAACCACAAAUCCACCAUGUGAGGAUAGCUUCAACAUGCUAGUGAGGGGUUAACCCUAUAAUAAGCAUGGAAGACUCAUUGUCCAUCACUAAGGAUAUAGGUGAGUAUUAUAUCAACCUCAAGGAUAACUCAAACCUAAUAGCUAAUGGUUAUGAAAAGUUUUGAUAAGAAGUGGCCAUUGAAACCAUAAAACAUUUGAAUGAGUUGUAUUUACCAAUGAAAAGUAUUUACAAAAUAUGGUCAAAGUUGACUUAAGGGUUCAAUUCAAAAUAAGUGUUAUGAAAGGAAAGUUUGAAAAUCAAAAGCAUAAUGCUUAGGUUUCUAGUUUUUGAAAACAAAUGUUAAUGUUUGCACAAAAUUUUUGGCUUGGGUUAGAGUGGAGGGAAGAAGAAGAAUGACUAAGUUCUAAACAUACAAAGAUGAAGGAAAAGAAAUAAGACCAUAAAUGGAGUUCCCUUCUUGAGAUCAUAGUGAUGAUCCAAGUCGCUCCCAUCCUUUGGAAUAAGCAAGCAAAUAAGCAAAUACUCAAGCAAUCAAUCAAUCAAGCAAGCUCUUAGGAAUCUUCCAAUGGCUCUUGUAUCUCUUACUUUAGAUGCACAUGAUAAUGGUUCUUCAAUUUGGCUCAAAUGGGAAUCCCUAGCACAAGAACACACACAUCAAAAAGUUCCACAAAACAAACAAAGAAUGGACAAAAGUGAGUUUAGAGAUUAGGUCAUUCCAAUUCAUCUUCAACAUUAAGUCCUUUUUACUCCAUUUUUGCAUAGGGAAUGUCCUAAAGUCUAAGUCCUUUUGUCCAUUUGCAUUUGGUUCACAACAAUCAAAACAAAACACAAGCACAAUAGUAUAUACACAAUUAUGUGCUCAAGUGAAUUUGCAUAG